RNAcentral lists this long non-coding RNA (680 nucleotides) under Panax ginseng (ginseng). RNAcentral's name for it is "long non-coding RNA (PGIN_LNC019265)". The record is from RNAcentral. Lineage: Eukaryota; Viridiplantae; Streptophyta; Magnoliopsida; Apiales; Araliaceae.
UCUUCCCCGUCUCCGUCUCGGUCCCCGUCCCACACCCUUCCCCUUCAGUCAUCCUCCACUGUCCCCCACAUACUUACAUUCUCUUUUGCUCCAAACUCUCUUCCAUCUCUAAUCUCUCGCUAUAGACAGACACAUACAUACACAAUCUUUUCCAUGUUCACCACCCAACAACCGUCGCCUUAUUAUUGUUAAACAGCAAAGCACUAAUCAUUAAUUCUAUCGGAAACCAUCGUCCUGGGGGCUGGGCAAGAUGUGCAAACUCUUUAUCAAAUUUCGGCAAGGCACAGGGAAAAAAUGCGCCUGCCCCAGCACCAAAACCCAGCAAUGUACUCUCGCCGUCCGCUUCUUCGACCUCCACUCCGGCUGCUCCCCAAUCAUCCCCUUCAAAGUCUUCGGUUUCUUCGUCACCUACCGUCGCCGUUGCUCCUAAAAUUUCACCGGCAUCCAGCCCGUGUAGUGCGCCGGCUCAAACCCCAACAACUACCCCGCCGGCCGUUCCACCUACCAGUGAGGCUACUCCUGUCUCGUCUCCGUCGGUUCCUAUGUCGUCGUCUGACACCUCAGUGAGCGCUCCUGAAUCAUCGACUCGCGGAAUGGUUGAGCAAUUCUCUAGGCUUUUUUCGAUCGACUUUGGGCUCGCUUUCUCAGACCUUAGUACUACUCCCUCCGUCCAACAUAAA